UUUUAGCCAUACAGACUCUCUUGUGGGUUGGAAGAGCCAAGACAGUGGGAGGUUGAAAAGAGUGCCCAUUUCUCCAAGGAUCAGAACUGUGUUAGAACACUUAGAAAGACUGAUCGCUAAGAAGAGAUAGCCAACGAAAGAGCUAAUGAACAAGAUGUCGAGAUCCUUAAGAAUGAUGUAAUUGAAGACUUAAGGAGUGUGAUUUGGUAGAAACUUUAGCAACAUUUGGUUGGGAUGGC
RNAcentral lists this long non-coding RNA (239 nucleotides) under Ricinus communis (castor bean). Its description in RNAcentral is "long non-coding RNA (RCOM_LNC001115)". The record is from RNAcentral. Lineage: Eukaryota; Viridiplantae; Streptophyta; Magnoliopsida; Malpighiales; Euphorbiaceae.